GAUGAACGCUAGCGGCAGGCCUAACACAUGCAAGUCGAGGGGCAGCACGUCUUCGGAUGGUGGCGACCGGCGCACGGGUGCGUAACGCGUAUGCAACCUACCUCUUACAGUGGGAUAGCCCAGAGAAAUAUGGAUUAAUACCGCAUAGUAUACAGAUUCAGCAUUGGGACUGUAUUAAACAUUUAUGGGUAAGAGAUGGGCAUGCGUUCUAUUAGUUAGUUGGAGUGGUAACGGCACCCCAAGACAGCGAUAGAUAGGGCCCGUGAGAGGGGGAGUCCCCACCACUGGUACUGAGACACGGACCAGACUCCUACGGGAGGCAGCAGUGAGGAAUAUUGGACGAAUGGGCGGAGAGCCUGAUCCAGCCAUG
Molecule: ribosomal RNA, 370 nt
Filed under: uncultured bacterium
Lineage: Bacteria
Description: bacterial SSU rRNA
Rfam family: Bacterial small subunit ribosomal RNA
Source: RNAcentral